CAGUUUUGGUACCUGCGCUCCGUGAAAGCCAGUUACCUUCGGAAGAAAGAGUUGGUAGCUCUGAAUUCCGGCAAACGAACCACCGUUGGUAGCGGUGGUUUUUUUGU
Non-coding RNA from Bacteroidales bacterium Barb4, 107 nucleotides. NCBI's taxonomy places the organism in Bacteria, Pseudomonadati, Bacteroidota, Bacteroidia, Bacteroidales. The record is from Rfam.